GAUAUGGAUGAUUUUAAAAAGCAUUUGUUUGACUUAAAUAUGAUCCGCGGAUGAAUUACCUAAAACAUCGGGGGGGUUUCGAGAAAUGUAAAAUAAAGGUUCGGAUGUGACUUAAAUCCGGACGGCGGGUUGAUUUCAAAAAAAGACAGAGACUUUUAUGUAAAAUACGAAAAUAACGAUUCGUUUUAACUUAAACCAGGACUGCGGGUUGAAUUCUCUGAAAUAGAGGGACUUUUCUGAAAAAUGCCAUGACGGACGAAAGAAACCCAAUUUGCUUUGUUAUUAGAUAAAGAUAAAGACUAUAUUAAGACACAUGCAUCACUGUUAAACAUUCCAACUGAAACCACAGCCAGAUAGGUCAGCUUAAUUACUCUACUACUUCUUUCUAGAUGACAUCAGUUAAACAGGAGGAGGCAGACACAAUCAGUGAUAUUAGCGGUGGCCAAAUUACCCAUGAAGCACAACAAGCCAUUCAAGUAUCUUCAUCGCCCAUGCAAAGCAAGCUCAACCCAAAAGUUCAAAGGCAAGAAAAUCCAUCUAAAGCCUGAAAAAACAUUCCCCGUGGUGAGCUUGGCAUCCAUCACUUAGAUGAGUUCAGUCGCCACAUUGUGUGGGGUAACACAGUUAAGCUCUAUAACCAUAAUGUUCUUAGACUGCGAAAGAUCAUUCGCAACACCAUCACGCCUGAUCGCUACAUGACAAAAACAUUUGCAGCACAUGGCAAAAGAAUGUACUUUGUGGUUCCCUUUUCCCGCACAUGGAUGCUGUCACAGCUCGCUUUAUCAAGGGUGUUGACAAAAGGGCAACCAUCACUAGAGGAUGAGUGACUUCUUCGGUCAGGCUCACAUGAACAAAGGGCAAGCAUAUAUAUGCUCGCCUUCAAAUGCACUUCCAAGCGACCACGCCUCAUCGUCUACCCAAUAUAAGCAAGUUGCAAGAGCCUCUUGCUAUAUAACUUAGCAUUAAUAUAGAUGCCUACCAAGACUUCUAUGUUUAUCAUCCUUUUGGAUCUUAUGCUUAGACUGCCGUGUGGUAUGCUUUUCAAACAGCCAUGAUGAAAGAAACAUAUGUUUUCUCCUUGAAGUGCACGUCCAAAGGCCUCUGCAAAUCACAAGAAUCCUUUGCUACCUGACUUAGUAUUACUACCAGUACCUGCCGAUACUUUUAUAUUUGGCAUCAUUUUGGAUCUCAUGUAAAACAUGUAUCAUCAGUAGUCAUCUAUCUAUA
Triticum aestivum (bread wheat) is the source of this 1227-nucleotide long non-coding RNA. RefSeq lists it as uncharacterized. The record is from RefSeq and is a predicted model, not a curated record. The transcript has 4 exons. NCBI's taxonomy places the organism in Eukaryota, Viridiplantae, Streptophyta, Magnoliopsida, Poales, Poaceae.